RNAcentral lists this ribosomal RNA (532 nucleotides) under Gelatinipulvinella astraoeca. RNAcentral describes it as "5.8S ribosomal RNA". The stretch from base 178 to 331 matches the Rfam family "5.8S ribosomal RNA". The record is from RNAcentral. Lineage: Eukaryota; Fungi; Ascomycota; Leotiomycetes; Phacidiales; Helicogoniaceae.
GAUCAUUAAAGAGAUCAUGCCCUCACGGGUAGACCUCCCACCCUCUGUGUAUCAUACUCUGUUGCUUUGGCGAGCCUGUCCGGCUCCGGCAGGACUCCCGGCCUCGGCUGGUCCGCGCUCGCCAAGGGACCCGAAACUCUGAAUUAGAAUGCCGUCUGAGUACUAUAUAAUAGUUAAAACUUUCAACAACGGAUCUCUUGGUUCUGGCAUCGAUGAAGAACGCAGCGAAAUGCGAUAAGUAAUGUGAAUUGCAGAAUUCAGUGAAUCAUCGAAUCUUUGAACGCACAUUGCGCCCCCUGGUAUUCCGGGGGGCAUGCCUGUUCGAGCGUCAUUACAACCCUCAAGCCCAGCUUGGUAUUGGACCUCCGCCUCCCCGGCGGGUCCUAAAGGCAGUGGCGGUGUCCUCCGACUCCAAGCGUAGUAACUUCUCUCGCUCUGGGGCCUCGGGCGACCACCGGCCAUCGAACCCCCCAUCUUUUAUAGGUUGACCUCGGAUCAGGUAGGGAUACCCGCUGAACUUAAGCAUAUCAUA